AUUCCAGCUCCAGUAGCGUAUAUUAAAGUUGUUGCAGUUAAAAAGCUCGUAGUUGAACUUCAGACCUGGCCGGGCGGUCUGCCUUAACGGUAUGUACUGUCUGGCCGGGCCUUACCUCUUGGUGAGCCGGCAUGCCCUUCACUGGGUGUGUCGGGGAACCAGGACCUUUACCUUGAGAAAAUUAGAGUGUUCAAAGCAGGCCUAUGCCCGAAUACAUUAGCAUGGAAUAAUAAAAUAGGACGUGCGGUUCUAUUUUGUUGGUUUCUAGAGUCGCCGUAAUGAUUAAUAGGGAUAGUUGGGGGCAUUAGUAUUCAGUUGCUAGAGGUGAAAUUCUUGGAUUUACUGAAGACUAACUACUGCGAAAGCAUUUGCCAAGGAUGUUUUCAUUA
Molecule: ribosomal RNA, 389 nt
Filed under: Agaricomycetes sp.
Lineage: Eukaryota; Fungi; Basidiomycota; Agaricomycetes
Description: partial small subunit ribosomal RNA
Rfam family: Eukaryotic small subunit ribosomal RNA
Source: RNAcentral